AGAGAUUGGAGCAAAAGUAAAAGCGACAGUGAGGAGAUUGUGCAUCGGGAUUUCAGACGACGCUGACAAACCGAUAUCGGGUUUGUAUUGCAUUGGAAUGUUUAGACGAAAAAAGAACUUCGUCACUCCUACACCCAAUCGCCUCAUCCGCUCUCCAAGGCCUUUCCACUCCUCUUUCUCGGGGGAACCACGGCUAACACUGUGGGCACACACCCUCUGGAGGUACAGGUGUGUUUGUCUGUGCUCGCGCACAUGGAUAUUUAAAUGAAGAUAGUCUUCCUCAUAAACAUGCUGGGUGGAAUUCUCCUCAUGAAUUCCCAAACCCUUGGAGUGUGGCAUACCUAGAGAAAUAACAUCACCAGGAUUAGCCCAACCUGUGGGAUUAUGAAUUCCAGUUGCUUUUGAACUUAUAGAUCCUUUCCGACUAUUCACGGCAAGCGGCCUGCCUCUCCUGGUCUUUCUUUGAAUUGAGAUGCUCCCUGAGGAGGCUGGAGGGGAAGAGAAAGAAAACACAGCAGCUCACCACAGUCUAGUUAGUUUACAGUGGAAAGUGUGUAAUGGCAGCCUGACCUUCAACUACGGAGUGCCCCAGAGGACCUCAUCGGGGCUUUUAAUUCAUGCUCAGGCCUUGUCUAAUAAAGGGCUUCAUU
Molecule: long non-coding RNA, 650 nt
Filed under: Rattus norvegicus (Norway rat)
Lineage: Eukaryota; Metazoa; Chordata; Mammalia; Rodentia; Muridae
Description: long non-coding RNA NONRATT021965
Source: RNAcentral